GCCUCCCAAAGUGCUGGGAUUACCGGCUUGAGCCACCUCGCCCAGCAGUAUAGUCUUAAGACUUCACAAAUCAAAGCAAUUCCCAUGUAAGCCUCGUCAGGCCUGGGGGUUGUGAAGAGGAAGGUAACUGUUAUGCCUACAGUUUGCAGCCAACCCAUCAGUAAGCAGCGCCUGUCUGUGGGGAGCUCCUGGCAGUGCCUCCUCCUCCAUGCCCAGCAGGAAAGAGGCUGGGAAGGAUGCAUGGGCCACAUGCCUGGCUCUACUUGCAGUGCCCCCAGGAUAAAAGCCAGGAGGCCGGCCGGGCACGGUGGCUCACACCUGUAAUCCCAGCACUUUGGGAGGCCGAGGCGGGCAGAUCACGAGGUCAGGAGUUCGAGACCAGUCUGGCCAACAUAGUGAAACCCCGUCUCUACUAAAAAUACAAAAAAUAGGCCAGGUGUGGUGGUGUGCGCCUGUAAUCCCAGCUAGUUGGGAGGCUGAGGCAGGAGAAUCGCGUGAACCCAGGAGAAAGAGGUUGCAGUGAGCUGAGAUUGCGCCACUGCACUUCAGCCCGGGCGACAGUGAGAGACUCCGUCACCAAAAUAAAAUAAAAAAAAAUAAAAAGAUCCUCUAGCCCAAAUCCCUCCAACACAGAAGCAGUCGGAGAAGCUUGAAAAGGUUAGAUGAUAGGCCCAUGUAGCUUGUCUGUGGAAAGAGCUAGGCUGCAAGACACCUCUGACUCCGUUGAGUGCUUUCUCUUACUCUCCUUUCCCGAUUUAAGACAUUAAAUCAUUUAAGACAGUGUCAUUUGGUCGGGCGCGGUGGCUAACGCUUGAAAUCCCAGCACUUUGGGAGGCUGAGAUGGGCGGAUCACCUGAGGUCAGGAAUUCGAGACCAACGUGGCCAACAUGGCAAAACCUCGACUCCACCAAAAAAAAAAAAAAUUAGCCGGGCCUGGUAGCGCGUGCCUGUAAUCUCAGCUACUCAGGAGGCUGAGGCAGGGAGAACUGCUUGAACCCGGGUGGCAGAGGUUGCAGUGAGCCAAGAUCGCACCACUGCACUCCAGCCUGGGCGACAGAGCGAGACUCUGUCUCAAAAAAAAAAUUUUUUUUUAAAAGACAGUGUCAUUUGAUGGAGUUGCUUUCUUGAUCGUUGGCUGCAAUGAAAGACCUAGCCUCACUGUCUUUUGUGUUGCCUUGGACCGGCUCUUAGGUUCUACUGCCCUAACAGGCAGUGGAGGCUGGCCUCGAGUGGUAGUCAUCCAUCUUGCCCUCUUUUCCUACCCUCUACCCCCAACCCCCGAGCUGCUCUCCUGUCUCCUUCCAACACUGUUCUCUUUGGGAAUAUGCAUGUCCAACUUCCCAAGCAGUCUGGGAUCUGGAGUAAGAUGACUCUUGGUUUAAUGGAGUUUUUCCACAGUGCUUGCAUGUGCCCCAAGGGUUUGGAAGGUUGGAGAACUAACAAAAAGCAAAGCGCCAUCCUGUGUCGUUUCGGCAGGUCUGUGUUCUGUUAAAAUAUGGAAGAAUUAACAGAAGAACGAAGAAAUAAGGGCAGAAACUCCACAGGGGAGUACUUGUCUAACCCUGAAAAAGUUCAAGGCUGUUGUUCAAGGUCUGAAUUUUUCCCUUGAGAUUUGCUUGUAGUCCUUAAAGUCAUCUUCAGAUCUAUCUGAUCAAGGCAGCAUCCGCGGAAAAUUAUAAGGUGGGUGGCUGCACUGGAGCCUGUCCUGGCUCAGGGGAGCCGGUGAAGAGUGAUUUUUUUCCCUUGGCGUUGGGGGAUCAGAGGGGGUGCCCUCUGCUAUGCAGGAAGCCCUCCUUGCCCACUAGAUAGUUGUCAUUCCUCAGGAGAUACUCUGUGAGGGGCCGGUGUGUUUUCUCCAUCUUGGCACUUACCCUCAGACCCUCCUAAAUACCCGGGAGGGCCGUGUUUUUCAUCGGAGGUUGAAAUGGAACCUCCCCCUGGGUGCCCGGGGAGAGUACCUUGGGGGCAGCGCCCCUCCUUCCGGAGGGCAGCAUCCCGGCGGGGGCGGGGGCUCGGCUUUGAUGCCAGGGCACCUUUUGUCCCUGGAGACGCUCUGCCAGCCAGGUGCGUGGAGGGAGUGCAGCCCGCCCUCCGGGGCGACGCGCGGGGCUGGGGCGGGCCGGCGGCUCCGGGGAGUGGCGGUCGGGAGCCCGCGAACGCGGGUGGGCGCCGUCGCCUCACUAACCGGGCGCCUCCGGGAAAUCCGGGCGGGGUCCGCCGCUCGCACAUAGGAUUAGCGUCCUCUAAACUCCAUCCCUGGGAAAAGCCGCCGCACUUCUCACCCAAACUCGCGGAGCCGAGGGGUUGGGCAGGGGUUGGGCGGGCGCGGGGGCCGCCGAGGCGGAUCCGGGAACGGGUGGACCCGGGCGGCCAAGCCUCUUCAGCGCCGGCCCAACCGCCCCGGCCCGGGCCAGUCCAGCGGGGCGGGGGCUGGUGACACAAAGGCGGCGGCGGGUCCUCCGGGCCUCCGACCUCGGGCAGUCG
This 2484-nucleotide long non-coding RNA is filed under the name Homo sapiens (human). RNAcentral's name for it is "HSALNT0343271". The record is from RNAcentral. Lineage: Eukaryota; Metazoa; Chordata; Mammalia; Primates; Hominidae.